Molecule: ribosomal RNA, 520 nt
Filed under: uncultured Glomus
Lineage: Eukaryota; Fungi; Glomeromycota; Glomeromycetes; Glomerales; Glomeraceae
Description: SSU rRNA
Rfam family: Eukaryotic small subunit ribosomal RNA
Source: RNAcentral
AGCAGCCGCGGUAAUUCCAGCUCCAAUAGCGUAUAUUAAAGUUGUUGCAGUUAAAAAGCUCGUAGUUGAAUUUCGGGAUCAAUGCGUCGGUCGUGCCUUCGGUACGUACUAGCGUCAUUGAUUCCUCCCUUCUGAAGAACCGUGAUGUCAUUAAUUUGGUGUUACGGGGAAUCAGGACUGUUACCUUGAAAAAUUAGAGUGUUUAAAGCAGGCUAACGCUUGAAUACAUUAGCAUGGAAUAAUGAAAUAGGACGUUCGAACCUAUUUUGUUGGUUUCUAGGAUCGACGUAAUGAUUAAUAGGGAUAGUUGGGGGCAUUAGUAUUCAAUUGUCAGAGGUGAAAUUCUUGGAUUUAUUGAAGACUGACUACUGCGAAAGCAUUUGCCAAGGAUGUUUUCAUUAAUCAAGAACGAAAGUUAGGGGAUCGAAGACGAUCAGAUACCGUCGUAGUCUUAACCAUAAACUAUGCCGACUAGGGAUCGGGUGAUGUUAAUUUUAUAAUGACUCAUUCGGCGCCUUAC